RNAcentral lists this long non-coding RNA (221 nucleotides) under Phoenix dactylifera (date palm). RNAcentral's name for it is "long non-coding RNA (PDAC_LNC011724)". Lineage: Eukaryota; Viridiplantae; Streptophyta; Magnoliopsida; Arecales; Arecaceae. The record is from RNAcentral.
CAUAUUACAAGCACAUGCACGUCAAUCGAUCAACUGGUUUUCAACUCUUGAAUUGGUUCCAAGCCUCCUUGAUUCGAUCCUUGACCAACUCUUGAUCCAAUCGCCAUCAACCGCUUAGACCCCUGUUCAUCUCAUGCCUUGUCUUCAACUUGAUCGUUGACGUACAUCACAUCACAGAAAUACAACCAGAUAUAAAAUAAAGAUAAUAAUAAAUUACAUCU